This 268-nucleotide long non-coding RNA is filed under the name Elaeis guineensis (African oil palm). RNAcentral describes it as "long non-coding RNA (EGUI_LNC027713)". Lineage: Eukaryota; Viridiplantae; Streptophyta; Magnoliopsida; Arecales; Arecaceae. The record is from RNAcentral.
CUUGGUGAAGUUAGUGGGAGGAUUAUGAUUAGCUGGUCAAGUUCAAUCUCUUCUCUUCAAUAUCUUAAUCAAAUUCUCUAAAUUAUUAAGUCCAUAAAAUGAGCUAGUCAUGAGGAUAACUAGAUCAUUGUCUCUCAUUAAGUUGGGUGAUAAUGGAUCCAUUAGUUGAAUGAUCAUUGGAUGACUCAAAGGUCGGAUGCUCAUCUGCUAUUAAAAUUAUCAUUCAUAAUAUGAUGACUCAAUCGAGUCUCUCUUAUAGGUGGUCAGG